RNAcentral lists this ribosomal RNA (559 nucleotides) under Sphingomonas melonis. RNAcentral describes it as "bacterial SSU rRNA". It matches the Rfam family "Bacterial small subunit ribosomal RNA", at positions 159 to 752 of the family's 1533-position model. The record is from RNAcentral. Lineage: Bacteria; Pseudomonadati; Pseudomonadota; Alphaproteobacteria; Sphingomonadales; Sphingomonadaceae.
ACUGCUAAUACCGGAUGACGACGUAAGUCCAAAGAUUUAUCGCCGAGGGAUGAGCCCGCGUAGGAUUAGCUAGUUGGUGUGGUAAAGGCGCACCAAGGCGACGAUCCUUAGCUGGUCUGAGAGGAUGAUCAGCCACACUGGGACUGAGACACGGCCCAGACUCCUACGGGAGGCAGCAGUGGGGAAUAUUGGACAAUGGGCGAAAGCCUGAUCCAGCAAUGCCGCGUGAGUGAUGAAGGCCUUAGGGUUGUAAAGCUCUUUUACCCGGGAUGAUAAUGACAGUACCGGGAGAAUAAGCUCCGGCUAACUCCGUGCCAGCAGCCGCGGUAAUACGGAGGGAGCUAGCGUUGUUCGGAAUUACUGGGCGUAAAGCGCACGUAGGCGGCUUUGUAAGUUAGAGGUGAAAGCCUGGAGCUCAACUCCAGAAUUGCCUUUAAGACUGCAUCGCUCGAAUCCAGGAGAGGUGAGUGGAAUUCCGAGUGUAGAGGUGAAAUUCGUAGAUAUUCGGAAGAACACCAGUGGCGAAGGCGGCUCACUGGACUGGUAUUGACGCUGAGGU